UAAGAUUAAAAUUAUUUGUUUUUUUAUUUUCUAAGUGCUUUAAAUUUUGUAUCUAAACCUUUAAGUUUGCAAACCCUAAUUAACCUAAAACCCUACCACCUUUUCUCUCUCCACUAUCACACAUCCAUUAACCCUCAAACCAUCACCCUUAAACUUCCAAAAGCUACCACACAACACCCUUAAGUCGUUCAAAACCACAACCUUUACUUCCCUAAACCACCAAUUGUCGCACCUUGAACCCAAAAUUUCUACACCUCCAACAUACCUUAAAACUGCAACCUCAACUCCCUUGAACCACCUUGAACACUUUCCUUCAAAACCACCCACCGCCACACCUCAACCAUUAUCUAAGUCUAGUACCACACCUUUCAAAAUCGCCACCCAAGCCAACGUUGAUAACCCUACACCACUAGCUUCG
RNAcentral lists this long non-coding RNA (418 nucleotides) under Gossypium raimondii (Peruvian cotton). Its description in RNAcentral is "long non-coding RNA (GRAI_LNC000359)". The record is from RNAcentral. Lineage: Eukaryota; Viridiplantae; Streptophyta; Magnoliopsida; Malvales; Malvaceae.